UAAGAAAUGUAAAUAGCUACACAGGCUU
Molecule: small RNA, 28 nt
Filed under: Bombyx mori (domestic silkworm)
Lineage: Eukaryota; Metazoa; Arthropoda; Insecta; Lepidoptera; Bombycidae
Description: ovarian small RNA-19100
Source: RNAcentral